AGAGUUUGAUCCUGGCUCAGGACGAACGCUGGCGGCGUGCUUAACACAUGCAAGUCGAACGGAAAGGCCCUUCGGGGUACUCGAGUGGCGAACGGGUGAGUAACACGUGGGUGAUCUGCCCUGCACUUUGGGAUAAGCCUGGGAAACUGGGUCUAAUACCGAAUAGGACCACGCGCUUCAUGGUGUGUGGUGGAAAGCUUUUGCGGUGUGGGAUGGGCCCGCGGCCUAUCAGCUUGUUGGUGGGGUAAUGGCCUACCAAGGCGACGACGGGUAGCCGGCCUGAGAGGGUGACCGGCCACACUGGGACUGAGAUACGGCCCAGACUCCUACGGGAGGCAGCAGAAGGG
Molecule: ribosomal RNA, 347 nt
Filed under: uncultured Mycobacterium sp.
Lineage: Bacteria; Bacillati; Actinomycetota; Actinomycetes; Mycobacteriales; Mycobacteriaceae
Description: bacterial SSU rRNA
Rfam family: Bacterial small subunit ribosomal RNA
Source: RNAcentral